RNAcentral lists this ribosomal RNA (264 nucleotides) under uncultured bacterium. RNAcentral describes it as "partial 16S ribosomal RNA". It matches the Rfam family "Bacterial small subunit ribosomal RNA", at positions 524 to 784 of the family's 1533-position model. The record is from RNAcentral.
CACGUAGGGGGCGAGCGUUGUCCGGAUUUAUUGGGCGUAAAGGGCUCGUAGGCGGCUCAGUAAGUCGGGUGUGAAACCUCCAGGCUCAACCUGGAGACGCCACUCGAUACUGCUGUGGCUAGAGUCCGGUAGGGGAGCAUGGAAUUCCUGGUGUAGCGGUGAAAUGCGCAGAUAUCCGGAGGAACACCAGUGGCGAAGGCGGCUGCCUGGGCCUGGCCUGACGCUGAGGUGCGAAAGCGUGGGGAGCAAACAGGGGAUUAAGAA